Non-coding RNA from Vicia faba (fava bean), 399 nucleotides. Lineage: Eukaryota; Viridiplantae; Streptophyta; Magnoliopsida; Fabales; Fabaceae. The record is from the annotation of a GenBank genome assembly.
CAGGUCGAAGGUGUUAUUCUCACCAACAGAUUGCAUCAAUUCGUGGUGAUUACUCAAAUCCCCAAAAAGUUCAAUUCGGAUAUUGAUCAUCAAAAUGGUGUCACCUCUGACAAGUACAAAGCUUGGAUCAUACAAGAUCAAGCUUUUUUUAUCUGGCUUCUUUGCAUCAUCUCUGAAUCAGUCCUUCCUCGAGUUCUCUCGUGCAAACACUUGUUUGAAGUUUUGGACAGAGCUCACAAGCACUUCAAUGCGAUGAUGAAGGCUAAGGUUUGUCAAUUUCACUCUGAACUCAAGAAUGCGAAGAAGGCGAAUCAAAACGUGUCUGAAUAUGUCCUCAAAAUCAAGUCAAUUGCAUAUUCUCUACUUGUUGUAGGUGAUGUCGUCAAAGAAGAGGCAUAA